This 347-nucleotide ribosomal RNA is filed under the name uncultured bacterium. Its description in RNAcentral is "partial 16S ribosomal RNA". It matches the Rfam family "Bacterial small subunit ribosomal RNA", at positions 338 to 682 of the family's 1533-position model. The record is from RNAcentral.
CCUACGGGUGGCAGCAGUGAGGAAUAGUGGUCAAUGGACGAGAGUCUGAACCAGCCAAGUAGCGUGAAGGAUGACUGCCCUAUGGGUUGUAAACUUCUUUUAUAAAGGAAUAAAACGAGGCACGUGUGCCUUUUUGCAUGUACGUUAUGAAUAAGGAUCGGCUAACUCCGUGCCAGCAGCCGCGGUAAUACGGAGGAUCCGAGCGUUAUCCUGAUUUAUUGGGGUUUAAGGGAGCGGAGAUGUGUUGUUAAGUCAGUUGUGAAAGUUUGCGGCUCCACCGUAAAAUGGCAAUUGAUACUGGCAGUCUUGAGUACAGUUGAGGUAGGCUGAUUUCGUGGUGUAGCGGU